RNAcentral lists this long non-coding RNA (902 nucleotides) under Equus asinus (donkey). Its description in RNAcentral is "lncRNA (ENSEASG00005026591.1)". The record is from RNAcentral. Lineage: Eukaryota; Metazoa; Chordata; Mammalia; Perissodactyla; Equidae.
CGCAGUGCUGCUGUCCCUGGUGCUGAUAUUUUCAUAGGCACACACCGUGGACCAUGGCAGAAUUUCCAGGAACGCUAGAUGUAUUUGUACUAUUUUUAUGUCUACUGAUUGAAAACUGAACAAAGGAAGGACAAGAAAAUCUUUCAGGAGCACUAAUGACAACCCCAUUUAAAACUAAAUUAAUUCUGUGUGGUCUAAAUGUUAUUAUAGUAAAAUGCGAAAGAACGUAAUUGUGAGGAGAUCCUGCUUCUGAAAAGGAAUCCAUCGAAAGAGUCAAUCAUCCAGGCUCAGCUAUUCGUUAAUCCUACUUGACAUCUGUUACAUCACUCUUCUCAGUUCAUUUAUUCAACACGUGUUUGUGGAGCACCUGUUUAGACAAUGCAGGGGGGACUGGCUGCUUGGAAAGUGGCAACAGAAAUGGAAACUGUGAUCCUUGCUCUGGAGGUCUUUGCUGCUCCAACUGUAGUCUGAAACCCAGCACAUCGAGAGUUUAAUGAAACUCCUCCGUGAUAUGGCUGCCUCAGCAUCAAUUUUGUGCGGCCAAGCGGCCUGCAGGGGCCUUCAACUGACCCUCAUGCAAGCAGAUGACCUGGAUAACAGCCCCCAGGGUCACAAGUAAAUCUGUUCACCAUUUGAAGAGGCCAUCACAAUGCUCAGAAGAUGAUCAAAGAAGCUACUUAAGAAUAACAUGCUGCCUUUUUAAAAAACCAAUGCCCACGCUGAACUCAGAAUGGUAAUGAGCUCAGGCAGGAGCCCAACUGAGACCUCCACGGCCAUCCCACCCAGCUGGGAUAUUUGCAUUUUAUACAAACCAUUUUAUGAUGCUAUAAAUUUCACAUUUUUAUAGUUACAGGUCUUAAUCAUCAUGAAUACCAUUUCUGCACGUAUCUUUGGUAAACGGA